AAACAACCGAAAAAAACAUUCUAGAUCCGAAUUCCAGGAGGGUAAACUUUCCAUGCCACGUCACACUUCAGCAAAUUUGCACAGAUAUUAUAUUGCCUCCCCCCUCCUUUAUUAUUCUUUUUUUUUUUUUUUUGCCAGGAUCCCAUUGUACUUAACUGAAUUUUAUAACGCUGAUCGAUAUCUUGGUAAAAUAUUCAUUUUUAAACUAGCGGGCAGUGAAAUCUUUGCUUUGUGUGCUAAAGUCAACAGUCGCUUGGUUUGAGCUCAAAUAAAUGCGGGGAUGCCUCGGCUCGGAGCAGUCGGCCUCCUCCCUCCGCGAGCUGGACGCUCCGCAGCCCGCCCGCCAGCCGGCCCGCCGGCCGCCGCAGGAAUCCCUGGAUAAAGACCAGCUCAACCAUCGCUGAGAAAACAGACCUAGGCUUCCCAGGGCGGUUAACCCGCCGGCCUCUGGGCAGAGACUGUAAGUUGGGGUCGUGUUUGGGAGACUCGGGACCCUAUUUCCAAGGAGAACUGUGGGGGACAUGUUUAUGUUUGUUGUUUUCAAAAUCAAGCAAAGGAAACAACAGCCAAUUAAAAUGAAAUAUUUUUAUUCCCCUCGCACGUCGUCAGUGAUUUGCCCCCAGGGAUUCACAAUUUUCCCAAGCCUGUUAACGGGUGACAAUGAGUGAGUGCCUCCUGUAAUUUAAUUUUCCUGUCACACUAAAUAGAGCUACAUUGUAAACCUUAGAUCUACUCUUACUGAUAGGAUCGCCUUGUUUUGCCAUUUGCACCAUAAAGACCCCCAAAAGGGACACUGUAUUGUGACCUCUACUCUUGAAUUAUUCAAGAACUUAAUGACAUUUUCCAUUUUAAAAAGGGAACUAAUUGCCAUUGAUGCAAAGCAUGUGACCUUCUGCAGGUACCCAGUAUGAGAAUGUAACCAUCUGUAUGUGCAUAGAAGGCUGAAGAAAGCGGGUGCAAACAGGAAAAACACAUGCAAUCCUAACGAGCUCAAAAUGGACACUGGAAUCAAGCGUAGGGUUUAAUUUCACCCCAAACCGUGACACAUAGCUCCACAAAAUUCCCUUCACCAGACCUAAAGUCUGCAUAAAACCUCGCAUCAAUUCAGGCUCGUUUUGGGGGACAUGACAUGACUUUUUAGCUAGGACUGGAACAUUAAAAAUUUUGAAAGCCAGUAUGCCUUUAUAAAUGUAAAAUCACUUUGAUGUCAAGCAAAAUAUCUAAUAAUUUGCCUCCCUUCUUUUGUGGCUCUUUAAAAUUAUUUAUUUCCUCAAAAAGGAAAAGAAAACCCCAUAAAUUGGGAUGGAACCGCAUCUCAGUAUUUGCUGUUUGAAUCAGUCUUGAGUUUCUAGGAAAGCCGUUAUUGAAAUUCUUCACUAACUAGAAUUAUCUCGCUUCAAAUUACUUGGAAAUGGAUGCUUAUCUUUUUUUUUUUUUUCAAAGAAAAGACAAAACAAAAUAAAACAACAACAAAAAACUCCCAGUGUGUUUCCUACUCUUCUUUGUCUUGGAGGAAAGCAAAGGGAGAGAAAUGGACUUCACCAGUGGUCUUUGGCUUCAUCAAUUCACAGGAAAUGGCAUCAAGAUGGUUCAACUAAGACAUGAUCACUAAAAACAUUAUAAUAAUACCUUUUUGAAAAACUCAGUUUCUCCUGUUUACUAAAUAUUUAUUUCAUCAACAUGGGCUGCGUUCCACUGUGUCAGGAUUCUGCAUGUGGGUGGAGCACUGUUCCAGCCUGAGAAGAUGGUUCUGAGGCCACUUAGCAAGACAUUUUCCAGCAUGAGCAGGUUUCUCUGUGGAAAUAGUGACACCUGUUCUGGUGUGUUGUCUUUCCUCAGGGAACUUAAGGGGUACAAAGCUCCUGAAAAUGUUCUUUAUGCUGGUUGAAGCUCUUAUGUCGCUGUACUGAUUCCCUACGAUGCAGAUUUGAAUCACAGAGUAAUUAAAAUAUGGAUCAAAUAAGGCUGGGGCUCACCAAGGCUGAAAGCUGUAGCCAUUCAAGGCAUCAUUUCUGUCAUGAAAAUAUAGGACCUUUUCAAAACAUGCCUUCAGGAAGGUGUUCUCUUUUCAAACAAAAGUCUAAUGACUGCAUAACUCUUCUUGACCACAUCUUACACUUUCUCUAGACUUGCUUAUUUACAGCUACUGGAACAAAAAGAUGAAAUGAAUAAAGCACACUGAUUGUCCUAAGAGUCUUCUGUGACUAAAAGCACAUGAGCUUCUCCCCAGGCUGAGCUUUGACCCUCCCAAGCAUUUCCCCAAAGGCCAUGACACUGCAUCAGAUUGCUCCUGGACACUUUCCUCAGAGUUUUCAACAAAUAUAAACUGAGGAGUGGAGCACAGCACCAGAUUUGCUAAUCAAGAGGCAAUGGUCCCAGUCCAAAUGGGUGCUGUGUGUGAAUACAGAGCCCAGGAGAAGGGAAGGAGGUCUGUGAACAUCAGGAAUUGCAAAAUCUUGCUGAACCAAUAGACCAACAGCCAUUAACAUUUGUCAAUGCAAAGAUCCUAAAAUAUACAAGUGUGGAGUUGUCCUGCCCUAAGAGCUGAAGCUGUGACAAUCACGCUGCCAUGAAAAAAACGCUUUCGUAUAUUUUUCCUGCUGGGUGGUCAGAAGGAAAGGCCGUGAAGCUAAAGGUCUCCCACUGAGACGCUGUUCUGCAAGGAGCCGACCUCACGUGCCGCCGCCGCCAGAGAAGAGAGCACCUGUUCAUCUCGGCUCACUGUGAGGCUGAGCUCAGCGCUGGCAGGCGAGGGGCCGCAAGCAUCCCCCACAGCCACCGAGAGGGCAUCCCUGCAGGGAAAUCAUAUCCGACAUGCCUGUGCCCACAGCAGACUUAAGACUGCCUCUAAAAUGUCCAUGAAGCCAUUGUCCAGUAGAGCUGUUAGUUUUAACACCAGUGAGUAUUACCUUUGGUUAAAAGGAUGCAUGUGUAUAGGUGUAUGUGUGUGCGUGUGUGUUUGUGUUUUUGGACUUGUGUGGAGAAUGAAGAAAGGGUUCCAUUUAGGCAUUUGCAAAUAUUCGAUGGCAUCAUGAAAAGACAAAAAAAUCCUAUAAAAUAUAUCAUAUUUUGCUAUGAUUUUGUGUGUACAUGUAAUAAAAUUAUUAAGUAUAAAUUGUUCUGUAUUUCUUUGCAAGCAUAAAUUCUAAAAUUUUGUAUUUAGUACAGAAUAAUUCGUAUCACAUAAUAAGGGAAAAAUACAUUUUUUUUUCCUGAUUAAGUGCUUAGACUAAAUGUAUCUGGUUUUUUGGGGAACUGAGGCCAAGAUGGAAAUUGUAGUCUGCCUGGGUGAACGUAAUUCCUUUCUCUAAUUCUUGACAUAGAGAAAAACUUGCCCAGGGAAAUUUUUCCAUUAUGGCAUUUUAGCAUUAAUCUGAAAAUCAUGGGGAAUCACUGUGGAUAACUCAGGGGAAUAAGUGGAACUCUUCUUCCAUUAAAAGAAUUUCCUGACUUUGAGGCUAUGCAUUUCCACAACAUGGGAAAUGGGUUUUUAUUUCCAAUUUCUGCAAAGAGUACACAUGCAACUGGUAUCCAUACAAAGCCCCACGUGUUGGGAGGCCACUGAGGGAGGAGCAGAGCUCCAGCGAGGGCAAAUGCACAAAUAACAAAUCAAGUUUAAAGACCGUGGUCAAAUGCAAGGAGUAAAUGAUACUGAUCUUAUAUGUUAGGGGCUUGGACAUCACAUCAGCUGCCAUGGAGUUUGAUUAAUGAGGCAUUAAGGAGAUGGAGUGACACUUACAGCUAGUUACUUAUGGUGCUAAUUUCAAAACACUUUGCAAUAGACAAAGAGACUCGGCUCAUAAUGCAAAGUAAUUUGUGGUGUGUUCCUGGUGAAUGCAUUUAGCGAAGCAAAUAUAGUUAUGCGGAAUUUAAAUUAAGGUUGACACUAAUGUAAACAGAGCCCAAGAACCACUGUCCAAUAAUUUGAUGAGGACACAGGUUUUAAUCAAGCCUCUUCCACUAAAAUAGCAAUUUAAAUCCCUAACGUUUAAACUGGAUAAAACGCUUAAGCUGUAAAGGUUGGGGGGAAAAAUAGAAAUUUACUUGAAAAGGAAAAUGAAACAGAGUAUCUCUGGGGGAAACCUUGACUAUGUUUUGACCCAACUGGGAUAUACAUGUCGAUUUAAAUGCCAGGUCGAUUUCAAGGCCAGAUUCCAGGUAUUUGAAGGCAUUUGCUAUGUAUCUUUUCUGUUGUUGUAAAGUUAUGGUUGGACACAUUCUGGUUGUAUUGAUCUCAGAGUAAAAAU
RNAcentral lists this long non-coding RNA (4247 nucleotides) under Homo sapiens (human). RNAcentral describes it as "non-protein coding LINC00261:1". The record is from RNAcentral. Lineage: Eukaryota; Metazoa; Chordata; Mammalia; Primates; Hominidae.